Molecule: ribosomal RNA, 639 nt
Filed under: uncultured bacterium
Lineage: Bacteria
Description: bacterial SSU rRNA
Rfam family: Bacterial small subunit ribosomal RNA
Source: RNAcentral
GGUAACGGCUCACCAAGGCGAUGAUCGAUAGCUGGUCUGAGAGGAUGAUCAGCCACAUUGGGACUGAGACACGGCCCAAACUCCUACGGGAGGCAGCAGUGGGGAAUAUUGGACAAUGGGCGCAAGCCUGAUCCAGCCAUGCCGCGUGAGUGAUGACGGCCUUAGGGUUGUAAAGCUCUUUCGCUCGGGACGAUAAUGACGGUACCGAGAUAAGAAGCCCCGGCUAACUUCGUGCCAGCAGCUGCGGUAAUACGAAGGGGGCUAGCGUUGUUCGGAAUUACUGGGCGUAAAGCGCGUGUAGGCGGGUCUUUAAGUCAGAGGUGAAAUGCCAAGGCUCAACCUUGGAACUGCCUUUGAUACUGGAGAUCUUGAGUCCGGGAGAGGUGAGUGGAAUUGCGAGUGUAGAGGUGAAAUUCGUAGAUAUUCGCAAGAACACCAGUGGCGAAGGCGGCUCACUGGCCCGGAACUGACGCUGAGACGCGAAAGCGUGGGGAGCAAACAGGAUUAGACACCCUGGUAGUCCACGCCGUAAACGAUGGAUGCUAGCCGUUGGGGAGCUUGCUCUUCAGUGGCGCAGCUAACGCUUUAAGCAUCCCGCCUGGGGAGUACGGUCGCAAGAUUAAAACUCAAAGGAAUGAC